RNAcentral lists this long non-coding RNA (1801 nucleotides) under Selaginella moellendorffii. Its description in RNAcentral is "long non-coding RNA (SMOE_LNC001106)". The record is from RNAcentral. Lineage: Eukaryota; Viridiplantae; Streptophyta; Lycopodiopsida; Selaginellales; Selaginellaceae.
GCAUGACCCGUACUGUCUCAAGUAUCUCCGCCUCUUGUUUGGCCAUCGACUGAGCGGCGAAGUCUCGCUCCAGUUUCACAGAAGUAAGUGUCUCGUCAAGAUUGGCGACUCGCCGUCUCAAUUCACCACAUUCUUUCGAAAGCUCGUCAAACUUAUUCUUAGCUUCUUCCUGGGACGUUUCUAGUUGGAGUCGCAGCUGUUCACCAAGUAGAUUGGCUUGAGAAAGCUCGUCCAAUAGACUCUGUUCUCGUUCCAGCAAACGAGUGACUUCCGCUUUAGUCUGAUUUGCUGUCACCACGUCCGACUGCUGUUCGAGUCGCAAAGAAGUAAGUUCUUCGUUGAGAUCGAUUUGCUGUGAGCGGAGCCUUUGUAGCUCCUCUUCACUCUUCUCAACCAUGUCGAUCAGUGCAAGAACACAAGUCUCCACGGAGGUGUUUUCGCCAGAGUCUUCAAUCACAUUCGUCACCAAUCUUUUCACGUUCUCGGUCUGAUCCGCAAGCUUCUUCUCCAACAAGCCAAAAUCUGACUGUAGCUUCAAGUUGCCCUCGUCUAAUCGUUCGGCAUACGUCUCAUGCAAAGAAGACAACUCCUCUAGCACGCGGACGAACUUUUCCUCGUGAGAAGUCACCCGACUAUCCAAAGUGCAUAAAGUGUCCAGGUAGCCGUCCUCAAGCCGUCCAAGCCUUCCAAAUGCUAUGUGAAGUCUAGACUCCAAGACGUCCUUGCCAAGAGCUUCCUUCUCACUGGACUUGUCAAGUUGUUGUUCCAGACUCCGCAUCUGCUCUUGAAGAAACCUGCUUCUGUUUUCGUAUGAAGAUUUUAAACCUGAGUUUUCGUCUUGCAGGUCCUCCACACGUUUCCUCAGGUCUUCUAUCAUGUCAGACUUGGCCGUAAGUUCUUUACUUGAAGACUUCUCAAGCGCCAGGAGCUGAUCUUUCAAAGCUUCCAGUUCUACCUUCAUCUCCUUCUGUGAUUCUUCCAACGUAACGCGCGUAGUCCAAAGUUCAGCUUCACCAACCUUGAGAUUUUGCAGAGAUGUAAGCUGAUCCAAGAGACGAGAAUUCUCCGCAGCUAGCGCAUCAACCUUUCCCCGAAUAAUUUUUUCCUGCUCCUCCGUGCUCUCAACACGUUGUUUUUCCUGUUGUAGCUGAUUUUCCAACGAUUCAAGCUUGGCUACGAGAUCUUCUUCCCUCUUUUUAGCAUCCUCCAGCUGCUGUUUUAACUCCUGCGAUAGAGAUGUAAGCUGAUAUACAAGACGAGAAUUCUCCGCUGCUAGCGCAUCUCCCUUUUCCCGACUAAGUUUUUCCUGCUCCUCCGUGCUCUCAACACGUUGUUUUUCCUGUUGUAGCUGAUUUUCCAACGAUUCAAGCUUGGCUACGAGAUCUUCUUCCCUCUUUUUAGCAUCCUCCAGCUGCUGUUUUAACUCCUGCGAUAGAGAUGUAAGCUGAUAUACAAGACGAGAAUUCUCCGCUGCUAGCGCAUCUCCCUUUUCCCGACUAAGUUUUUCCUGCUCCUCCGUGCUCUCAACACGUUGUUUUUCCUGUCGCAGCUGAUUUUCCAACGAUUCAAGCUUGGCUACGAGAUCGUCUUCCCUCUUUUUAGCAUCCCCCAGCUGUUGUUUUAACUCCUGCGAUAGAGAUGUAAGCUGAUCUACAAGACGAGAAUUCUCCGCUGCUAGCACAUCUCCCUUUUCCCGACUAAGUUUUUCCUGCUCCUCCGUGUUCUCAAAACGUUGUUUUUCCUGUCGCAGCUGAUUUUCCAACGAUUCAAGCUUGGCUACGACAUCUUCUUCCCUCUUUCU